UACGUAGGGUGCAAGCGUUGUCCGGAAUUAUUGGGCGUAAAGAGCUCGUAGGCGGUCUGUCGCGUCGGCUGUGAAAACUCGGGGCUCAACUCCGAGCUUGCAGUCGAUACGGGCAGGCUAGAGUUCGGCAGGGGAGACUGGAAUUCCUGGUGUAGCGGUGAAAUGCGCAGAUAUCAGGAGGAACACCGGUGGCGAAGGCGGGUCUCUGGGCC
RNAcentral lists this ribosomal RNA (212 nucleotides) under uncultured bacterium. RNAcentral describes it as "partial 16S ribosomal RNA". It matches the Rfam family "Bacterial small subunit ribosomal RNA", at positions 524 to 735 of the family's 1533-position model. The record is from RNAcentral.